AAACCUGAGAAACCCAAAAGAUCGAAUGGGGAGAUUCAUCGUCAGCGACUCUGGCAAGUGUGCGGUUCGCGAUACUGCGAGACUUCGGUCUCGCGGUACGCGUCCGCAUGUUUUUAGUGUCGGGUGUCGUCGGCGUGCACUUCUCCCCUAGUAGGACGUCGCGACCCGUUGGGUGUCGGUCUACGGCCCGGGUGGGCGCCUGUUCCGUCGUUUCGGCGUUACGGAACAGACCCCCGGUUGCCUGACCGACUGCCCGGCGGUACUCGCACGGUAUCGGGUCGCAAUUGUUGCGUCUGGCCCGCCGCAAGCGCGAUCAGUGAUACUCGGAUGUACGGACCUAGCGCCGUCACCGAGCCUGAUCAGCUGUUGGUCGGCGGUGUCCUGAGACUGGCCCUUUGAUACCGGUCGGCGACGCUACUGCUUUGGGUACUUUCAGGACCCGUCUUGAAACACGGACCAAGGAGUCUAACAUGUGCGCGAGUCAUUGGGACUUUGAAGCCUAAAGGCGCAAUGAAAGUGAAGGUCGGCCUCGCGCCGACCGAGGGAGGAUGGACCGUGUCACGAUACGGUCCCGCACUCCCGGGGCGUCUCGUCUCAU
This 598-nucleotide ribosomal RNA is filed under the name Odontocolon microclausum. RNAcentral describes it as "eukaryotic LSU rRNA". It matches the Rfam family "Eukaryotic large subunit ribosomal RNA", at positions 417 to 779 of the family's 3401-position model. Lineage: Eukaryota; Metazoa; Arthropoda; Insecta; Hymenoptera; Ichneumonidae. The record is from RNAcentral.